This 494-nucleotide ribosomal RNA is filed under the name uncultured bacterium. RNAcentral's name for it is "bacterial SSU rRNA". It matches the Rfam family "Bacterial small subunit ribosomal RNA", at positions 32 to 532 of the family's 1533-position model. The record is from RNAcentral.
AAUCAACGCUGGCGGCGUGCCUCAGACAUGCAAGUCGAACGAUUAAAGCUCUCUUCGGAGAGUGUAUAGAGUGGCGCACGGGUGAGUAACACGUAAGUAAUCUACCUUUGAGUGGGGAAUAACAGUCGGAAACGGCUGCUAAUACCGCAUAAUGCAGCGGCACCGCAAGGUGACAGUUGUUAAAGAGCAAUCCGCUUAAAGAGGAGCUUGCGGCAGAUUAGCUAGUUGGUAAGGUAAUGGCUUACCAAGGCUACGAUCUGUAACCGGUCUUAGAGGACGGUCGGUCACACUGACACUGAAUAACGGGUCAGACUCCUACGGGAGGCAGCAGUCGGGAAUUUUGGGUCAAUGGGCGAAAGCCUGACCCAGCAACGCCGCGUGAAGGAUGAAGUAUUUCGGUAUGUAAACUUCGAAAGAAUAGGAAGAAUUAAUGACGGUACUAUUUAUAAGGUCCGGCUAACUACGUGCCAGCAGCCGCGGUAAGUGACGUCAGA